Molecule: long non-coding RNA, 1440 nt
Organism: Ornithorhynchus anatinus (platypus)
Lineage: Eukaryota; Metazoa; Chordata; Mammalia; Monotremata; Ornithorhynchidae
Exons: 3
Source: RefSeq, a predicted model, not a curated record
UAAUCACCUUUCAUUUUCUCUUCACCUAUCUUUACUUUUGAUGCUUGUUGGUUUUGGUUGGAGCUGAAGUAGAGUUUCCAGGCAGAGCUGUUCUCGUAAUUUAGUGCACAUGACCUAGUGGAAAUGCAGGAAGUCCUGGCAAGCUCAUAAGAGCAUCAUCCUCAGGAGGUUUCCAGAGUAUUUUGGAUGCCUUUCAGUCUGAGCCUCUGAGGUCUACUUACUGCUUACCAGUUCCUGAAGUCUUAAACCCCACUGUCCAAAUAGGCCUCGGCUGUAAAUAAAAAGUUGUGGGUGGAGAAAGUAUAAGAGCCUAUGUUUCUUGGCCUGAGGCAAGUUUGGAAUCAAAGGAAAAGCAGCAGGACUUCUAGAUAACUCACAGAAAGCAGGCCAUCCGAGAUGCGGAGAACUACCACGUCUGUCAACGCAAGGAAAGGGAAUGAAAGCUGCCUUCUCCACCCUGCCAGUAGGAACAGACGAAGACUUUUGUCAAGACAGAAUAUUGGAAGAAGGGUGCAGCACCACUGAAGAAAACCACCCGACUGUGAUUACCACUGUGCUAAUUCAAAGACGUGAACAUCACCGUUGUCCCUGUCUCCUAAUUGACAGGAGUUUGUCUCACAAACAGCCUUAUGCCUGAGGUAACCAUGAGAAACAAAAUUUCUGAGAUUGAAUCCCAGCUGAAGGACACAAGGCACUGUCGCCCCUAAAGCCAAACGUUCUGUAGCAUUCUGUCUUCUGCUGUCCAUGGCCUUUUAAAGGGUCUACAGGCUUUUUUGGGGAAAAGAGGAAAACAUAAUAAGAUGUCUGGUGGGCAUUGAAGUGAGGAAGUUGAAAAGUUUUCAGACCUAGACAGCAAGGAGCCCAUGUUCAUUUAGCCUGUUCAAGAUUCUUCAAAUCUUCAUUCACAGAUGUGCUCAAAUCCAACCUCCCACGCUCCUCUGAGCCAAGGCUGACAGGGCUGCUCCUCUUAUACUGUAACUGAGCUGACUCCUUCGUGGGCCAUAUUUUCCUUGGGCUGCUACACAGCCUUCGAGUUGAGGACUAUCAAUGUCGCCAUCGGUUAGGUUAGUUACAGUUGUAGAUUUCUCCAGGGAUAUUUCCGUAGGCUUCCCCUCCCAUUCAAAGAAUAUAUCCAUGUCCGGCGAUUUACUCGCUGCUCUAAUUUCACAGUGGAAAUCAACUACCUGUCACAUCUGACAUUUUUUACUUACUUCCUUCUCCCUCCUUGAAGUCUAACUCAAUUAUGAUGAACUUCUUAAUCAUCCAAGAAUUUAAAAAAAUAUGAUUUUCUUUUUGAGGGUUUAGGGAGGUGGUAGCGAGAUCAUGUAUGUGUGUGUCUAGGGGAGCAUCCCGCUUGAUUGCAAAAUAUCUUGUUCUUAUUCUAGCCUUCUCUCUCCUUGCCUGGGCAAGUCUAUAUUGGUACCAUCUGGAAGGGAAAAA